RNAcentral lists this long non-coding RNA (1777 nucleotides) under Lotus japonicus. Its description in RNAcentral is "long non-coding RNA (LJAP_LNC000497)". Lineage: Eukaryota; Viridiplantae; Streptophyta; Magnoliopsida; Fabales; Fabaceae. The record is from RNAcentral.
UUCAGUUUUCUCAAUUAUUUACAUUGAUCCAUUGCAAACUUAAGUAUUCUCAAUUAUUUACAUUGAUCCAUUGAAGAAUGAAUUUCCAUUAUUUCACAGUCCUAGAAUGAAGCAAAAAAUGUGAUAUUGAAGAAGGAAGUGAGAAUGGGGUAAAAAAAAAGAGUUCAUUGAGAAAACACAAAUCAAGUUGGUCUUUGAGUUAUUAACACCUCCAUUUAACCACACCUUUUUUAUACAUAUGGAACCACACCUUGUAUAUACAUAUGGAAGCUUCUAAUAUAGUAGGGAUAUGCAGACAUGGCCAUCCUCAUCACCUGCUCGCAGCCAUAGUUGAAAUAUUAUUCCAUUGGAAAAUUAGAUACCGCCAUCCCCUCUUUAUGGUCUCUACCACAGAGAAGUUCCAAUACAUGCAUAAUCAAUAGUAACCUCAAUUACACAAUUGUAAAAAACAUGCCCGGAAUUACAUCAAAAAAACUUGAAGGAAAAGGAACCCAAAGUAAGCAAGAAGACUUGUGAAGCAAUCCUACACACCAUGUAUUUAUGAAAUACACUUAUCUAUUCAGCUAGGAAAUACACUUAUCUAUCAGCUAGUUAGUAGAAUACAUUGGCGUCCUAUGCCAAUGUACUAUACAUGAAGAACAAAAGAAUGUAAUUUCAAGAAGGAAAAGAAUGCAUCAGAAUGGGAGUGAGAAACACAUUAAAAAAUUAGGAGCAAUACAAAACAUCAACAAUUGGUUCAUUGCAAUUCCCCAAAUUACUCGAACUAAGAAAGGUUCUUUCCGUUCCUCUGCUGAUUGCUUAUUCUCUGCAACAAUAGCCGCAACAUUCACUUCCUGUUGCACCCGAACGACCGAAAAUGAUGAAGAAAUAAAAUUGAAAAAUUAGAAAAGAUAAAAAUGAUGAAGAAUGUAGCAAUCAAAAUUCAAAAUGAAAGAAGAAGAUAAAGUUAAAAAUGAUAUAUUGGUGAGGAGAGUUCCGAAAGAGAAGAACAAAGGAGAAAAGGAAGAGAUCGAGAGAUUCGAAUAGAGCCUACCCAAACAGAGGCAAAACGCCCAUUUAAUUAGAACCUUGUCAAACCUCCUUAGCAUAGCCUGGGAAAUACAAAUAAUAUGAUUUAGAUCAAAGAAAGGAUAUCAAUCUAUGAAAGUAAAGAUUUUUUUUUAAGAAAGAAUAGUAAAACUUGAUUUCAAUACUUAAAAAAUCAGAAGAAGCAUAUAACUUUCAUACCUAUGUAUUAAUGUAUUAAACAUGUAAACAAUCUGAUCACAUGUUGAGUUCAGAUAACAGAUGAACCAAAACAAUUUUGCAGUUAAAUGAGCCACAACCCAGCAUAUAAUUAUCAAUUUAUGCUGCAUGACAAAAUAAAUUAAGCAUGAUUGAAAAACACAGAACAUAAAGUGUUGGCUCAGAAGCUAAUUUGAGUUACCAUCACAUGAUUAUAUCAGAUCAAGUGUGUUCAGAAGCUAAUUUCAAGCUAUGAAUCAGCAAAGACAAAGAGAUAUUUUUUCUUCCUAUUCUCAGAGAGCCACGCCCAACCCCCUUUGUUCAGCCUCCACCAACAAAUCCCCCAUGGAAUGAAACCACAAUCUGAGAGGAAAUAAAAAAUUGAUCUGGGAAGUAAAAGGGAAAAUUACCUUGUGCGCAAUCUGAGAGAAAGGUCAUGAAUGAGCAAACACCAUCAACUCCAGAGGGUUUUUGGAAGCUCCAAUUUCAGAAUCUUGUGCGCCAUUCCAUUCAAAUCAGACUCCAAUUUCUCCAACUCUGAGUCGGAAUCCAC